Molecule: long non-coding RNA, 2313 nt
Filed under: Cricetulus griseus (Chinese hamster)
Lineage: Eukaryota; Metazoa; Chordata; Mammalia; Rodentia; Cricetidae
Description: lncRNA (ENSCGRG00000024521.1)
Source: RNAcentral
UUUAUAGGUCUUAUGACUGUAUCUGAUAUUCAAACAGGUCUCACUGAGUAUAUAAAAGGAAAAUUCCUUUUAUGGGUCGAUUUAGCGAACCUAAGUAAGGCUGCAUGGAUUUUCUUUUUAAUUUUCCCCUGCUUCCAUUUCAGAGGUCCUGUUGCUACCUGCCCAGUCCUUUUUCUUAAGGUGAAUAAACUGAGGAGCCCUUGGAGAAAAUGACCUGGUCAAUGAAGCAUGGUUGCAGCCUGAGCUUAGAUACAAGGCUUGGAUUAAAUACUGGAUUUGUGAUUCCCUAAGCUUAUGACAUCAGAGUAGUCUCUUUACCUCUGAGCCUCAGCAUCCUCGUUUAGAAGCAUAAAUAAAGACUGUCAUAUCCAUGAGGCCUUACAUAGUUAUGGGAUAAAUGCAAAGUGAAAAACACCUGAUUGGUGCCUGAUACAUGGUAUAAAUUCAACAACUGGAUUUGCUCCCCCAUCACACAGGAGGAAGGAAAACUGAAGGCAAACUAAGCCCCCAGACUCCUAGGCCAGAGCCUUUCAUAUACAAGGCUUCAAGUUCAAACAUUACUGGAGCUAUGUGAUGGCUUCCCAAGGGCUACAGAAACAUAGGUGGUUUUUCAGGGAUUAAUUUUCAGGUUCUCAAGUUCCAUGAGGACUUAGAUUCUCAGGCUUGGAGGCAAGCACCUUUACCUGCUGAAUCAUCUCAUUGGCCCCAAUUAAAACCUUUAAAAAAUAACUUGGUUAUUUGUGGUAAUCCACACUUUAAUCCCAGUACUCGGAAGGCACAAGGAGGAAGAUGUUUCAGAGUUUGAGAAUAGCCACUUGGAGAGAUAACUUCCCUGCACUAAGGUCUGGUUAGCCCCUGUGUGUCAUGUAGCUGAACAGCAGGUACAUUCACUUGUGGAACUAAGAACAAUAACAAAAGAAAUGUGCCAGAUAUGAAGGCUAAAUCAAAUAAACUUUCUAAAAUAGACUUCAGGCUGUGUAAAACUACUUCAGGAUUAAAUUGGCUUGGAACGUAUCUCAGAGGAAAGGGGAGGAGGGAGUUAAGAAAACAUUGACUCAACCAAGGGUGAUGACUCCUGCCUGGAAUCUUUGGAGGUUGAAGCAGUUGGGCCACUACAGAGUCAAGGCUGUCUUGGACUAUAUAGUGAGUUCCAGGCCAACCUGGGUUCAGAAUUGAAAAAAGAAAAGAAAAUGAGAGUUAGAGGAGUUGAGAGUGGGUAAGGUUCUUGAUAUGACCUUUGAAGCAUGAGAACCUGAGUGUAGAUUUCCCAGAACUCCCUUAGAAACCCAGGUAUAGUGACACAUGCCUGUAGCCCCAGUGCUAGAGGGGCAGAGAGGUGGCCCCUGUGAACCCUGGCCAGCUUGUCUAGCCAAGAUGGUGAUCUCACACACAAUUAAGAAGGACAGAGAUAGUGGGAAGAGAAAACAAUGACUCAAAAUUCCCAUGUCCAUAUGGCUGACACCCCAGUGAAGGAACUCACGGUUACUGCAGAGCUUCUAUGGUCUGGGCAUUCUGGGAAUGUUCCAUGUACGGUCACGUCUAGUCCUCCUGUCACUCUUGGUAGUUAAGCUUUCUUCUUCUAAUUAGCUAUCAGAAAACUGAAGAUUAGGAAGGUUAAGUCAUUAAAAUUUGUUCACCACAGCUGAGUGGUCGUACAUACCUACAGUUUGGAUAGCUUGAUAGGCAGAGGCAGGAACAGAAUAUCACUUAAACCCCAGAGUUCAAGGCCAGUCUGGACAACUAGGUGAGAUUUUUUUGUCUCGAGGACAAACAUUAUAGAUCUGCUCACUGAUUUGAAGUAAUCACACAGAUGGGUAAAAAGAAAACCAUCAAUUUGUUAGCUUGCUGUUACACAGAAACCAUAUGAAGAUGUAUAACAUCAAUGCAGUCAGCAAAAAGAUUAGCAGUUGGGCGGGGCGGUGGUGGCACACACCUUUAAUUAAUCCCAGCACUCUGGAGGCAAAAGCAGGCAGAUCUCUGUGAAUUCGAGACCAGCUUGGUCUACUAGAUCUAGUUCUAGGACAUCCUCCAAAGCCAAAGAGAAACCCUGUCUUGAAAACAAAAAACAAAACAACAACAACAAAACAAACAAAAACGGGGAUAGAAAAAAAAGAAUUCUUAUUACUGACUAAUUUGUAGAAACAUUUUCUAAUAUUUUCUGGGAAUAUAAAUAUAGCAGAAGCAAAUUUAUUCACAAACUGCCAAUACUAUUCAACAGAAACCUGUGCUAACAUUAAACGAAUAAACACAGAGAAAUCCUGUCUCAAAAAAUUUUUUUAAUUAAAAAAAAAGUGGGGGGGAGGGGAGGCAGAG